UGGCUUAGUUGGUAGAGCAUGUGACUCUUAGUCUCAGUUUGUGGGCUCAAGUCCCAC
This 57-nucleotide transfer RNA is filed under the name Canis lupus familiaris (dog). It matches the Rfam family "tRNA", at positions 8 to 63 of the family's 71-position model. From Rfam's summary of the family: Transfer RNA (tRNA) molecules are approximately 80 nucleotides in length. RNAcentral also lists the same sequence under 1 other name. The record is from Rfam by way of RNAcentral. Lineage: Eukaryota; Metazoa; Chordata; Mammalia; Carnivora; Canidae.